CUGGAAGGCUACAGUAGAGGCAGUUAAAACUUUGACAAGGUGAAGUCCUCGGCAAAGGUUGUUAUAUAGUGAAACUUGUUACUGUUGACACGGGUUUAAAGGUUCUCCUUUUUACCACCUUUCCUGUUUGUAAAAUUGCUAGUGACAUCUUGGAGAGGAUUCUGCUGAAAUUUGAUGCAAGUCAGUGCAUCAUUUAGAAUGGAAAUGAAAUUACCGAAAAAGGGGAUUGGGAAUAUGCCUCCAUAUCUUGUUUGAACAAGAAAGGUAAAUUAGGCACGGAAAACAGAAGGAAAGGACAAAACUGCAAGUGGCAGACAUGAAUCUCUUCAGAAAUGCAGCUGCAGCUACGAAUUACAGAGGUAGUGAAAGGAUGGUUAUGACAAUGGUGGUUGCUCAGUGGUGGUGGUGGUGGAAGUUCCAUCAACGAUAGAUGUGGAGGAGUGAAGGGCUCUAGGGAAUUGGAAGGACAGAUUUGGAGUGAAAAUAUAUUGGUGUGUUCAUUUCAAUUCCAGAACUGGACCAGACAGUCCAGACAGCAGUAGUUGAUUUGAGAAGUUCUCAGUUUGUGGAUGCCACGUGGACCAAUAUGGAAGCUAUGAUGAGAGGUAUGACACUUCAGCCAAACCCCUCUCAACAACAACCAUUUGAUUGAUUUAUAGCACACAUUCUCUCUGCUCCUCCUUAGCAAAAGCCUAGGUUGUUUGUAUCUGCAAGGAAACCAGAACCAUAGGGUGUGAAGUGGGAUUCCCGCCAUAUAUCCAAUUCCCUCUUGUGUAUGGAUACGUGAAUCUACCCAACCGACAUUUUAUUUUUAUCCUUAUUAGUUCCUGCCGACCUUCCUCUCAUUUGUUGAACAAAACAGCAAAUUAUUUCCGGAGACACGUUAAAGCUGGAUUUGAAUGGUGAGGUUGAGUAUUUUGACUGGAUUAUGGAACGAUGCUUUCGUUUGUCGAAAAUGAUAAAGAUGUCCGCUAUUGUUAUCUGAGUAGCUGAGUUGGACGGACAAUAUCCAACUGAAUUUGUGAGCUCCACGCACAUAAAAUGCUGCUGGGAACCCUAUCAUUAAUGUUAUAGUUUGUGAGCUGUUUGUCUAAGGGAUUGAAUAAAUGAAGGGAACCCAUGAAGGUCAUAAUCAAAGCUGUUGUUGAGGUGGGGGGACGUGUGUGUGAUGGAAGUUGUCAUUUGUAUGUACAUGUGAAAAUAAUAAGAUCCAGGACCAAAAUGAGGUCCCCAUGCACGCGCAGAUGCUGAUGGAGUCAGAGCAGAUAUAUAUAUUCCAGCUUAUCUGAAACCUGUAGGCUGUAGAGUUUCUGAAGAAAGAGCAUAGAAGAUGAGUCAUAUUAUCAAUGAGUCUCAAAUGGAAAUGGAACAGGUCAGCUGCUUCGGAUUAAAAGAGAAAAGACAGGUAACAGGUGGGUCUGGUGCGAGAGUAAAGAAAAAGGUGGUGGUCGUCUGUGGCUCUGUUCGUAGGUGAAUAAUAUCCCUCUCUACUGGUUUGCCUCUCGAGUCUGUCGUUGGCCUUUGCCUUUCACAUUAAAGUUUUUGCCUUUCUGGAAUAAUCAAAAAAAUUUGUUGAUUAUUAUUAUUAUUAUUUGUAAAGAAGAGUUUACUCGUAAGACUCGUGAGAGAUCCAACACUUUGGGAGCCUUCAAUGACGUGGUGGACCAUGCAAAUCUCUUUCUUUCUCUCUGAGAGCAUUAGUUAACGCGUCUGCUUAUGAACCAAAAAGCCUCAUCUUGGGUCGUGA
Long non-coding RNA from Tripterygium wilfordii, 1747 nucleotides. RefSeq lists it as uncharacterized. The transcript has 2 exons. The record is from RefSeq and is a predicted model, not a curated record. NCBI's taxonomy places the organism in Eukaryota, Viridiplantae, Streptophyta, Magnoliopsida, Celastrales, Celastraceae.